Molecule: ribosomal RNA, 517 nt
Filed under: uncultured bacterium
Lineage: Bacteria
Description: bacterial SSU rRNA
Rfam family: Bacterial small subunit ribosomal RNA
Source: RNAcentral
GUGGAUUCAAGUUUUCGGACGAGAAACCGCUGGGGAGAGUGGCGAAAGGGUGAGUAACGCGUGAGCAACCUACCCUGAAGUUGGGGAUAACCCCGCGAAAGCGGGGCUAAUACCGAAUGUGGUAUUCCGGCACCUGUCGGGAUUACUAAAGGUGGGGACCCUUCGGGGCCUGCCGCUUUGGGAGGGGCUCGCGUGCCAUCAGCUUGUUGGUGAGGUAACGGCUCACCAAGGCUUACGGCUAGCCGGCCUGAGAGGGUGACCGGCCACACUGGGACUGAGACACUGCCCAGACUCCUACGGGAGGCUGCAGUCGAGGAUCAUUCGCAAUGCGCGAAAGCGUGACGAUGCGACGCUGCGUGGAGGAUGACGGCCCUAGGGUUGUAAACUCCUGUCAUGAGGGAAAAGCCGCCCGGGCGCCAAUACCGCCCGGGCCCGAUGGUACCUCAAGAGGAAGCCACGGCUAACUCUGUGCCAGCAGCCGCGGUAAUACAGAGGUGGCGAGCGUUGUUCGGAUUUA